GCUCACGGGUCCUGUCCCCGUGCUUUAAUAAAACCACCUUUUGGCACCAACCAUGUCUCAAGAAUUCUAUCUUGGCUGUCAACGGCUCCGGAACUCAGCCCAGC
Mustela erminea (ermine) is the source of this 104-nucleotide long non-coding RNA. RefSeq lists it as uncharacterized. The record is from RefSeq and is a predicted model, not a curated record. Lineage: Eukaryota; Metazoa; Chordata; Mammalia; Carnivora; Mustelidae. The transcript has 4 exons.